This 290-nucleotide ribosomal RNA is filed under the name Clostridioides difficile. RNAcentral's name for it is "partial 16S ribosomal RNA". It matches the Rfam family "Bacterial small subunit ribosomal RNA", at positions 1 to 298 of the family's 1533-position model. The record is from RNAcentral. Lineage: Bacteria; Bacillati; Bacillota; Clostridia; Peptostreptococcales; Peptostreptococcaceae.
UUUUAUUUGAGAGUUUGAUCCUGGCUCAGGAUGAACGCUGGCGGCGUGCCUAACACAUGCAAGUUGAGCGAUUUACUUCGGUAAAGAGCGGCGGACGGGGGAGUAACGCGUGGGUAACCUACCCUGUACACACGGAUAACAUACCGAAAGGUAUGCUAAUACGGGAUAAUAUAUUUGAGAGGCAUCUCUUAAAUAUCAAAGGUGAGCCAGUACAGGAUGGACCCGCGUCUGAUUAGCUAGUUGGUAAGGUAACGGCUUACCAAGGCGACGAUCAGUAGCCGACCUGAGAG